GGAAGCGUGGCAGAGUGGUCGAUUGCAACGGUCUUGAAAACCGUCGAUGGGCAACCAUCCGUGAGUUCGAAUCUCACCGCUUCCGCCA
RNAcentral lists this transfer RNA (88 nucleotides) under Rhodocyclus tenuis. RNAcentral describes it as "tRNA-Ser". It matches the Rfam family "tRNA". From Rfam's summary of the family: Transfer RNA (tRNA) molecules are approximately 80 nucleotides in length. Their secondary structure includes four short double-helical elements and three loops (D, anti-codon, and T loops). Lineage: Bacteria; Pseudomonadati; Pseudomonadota; Betaproteobacteria; Rhodocyclales; Rhodocyclaceae. The record is from RNAcentral.